UACGUAGGUGGCAAGCGUUUGUCCGGAAUAUUGGGCGUAAAGCGCGCGCAGGCGGCCUCUUAAGUCUGAUGUGAAAGCCCCCGGCUCAACCGGGGAGGGCCAUUGGAAACUGGGAGGCUUGAGUAUAGGAGAGAAGAGUGGAAUUCCACGUGUAGCGGUGAAAUGCGUAGAGAUGUGGAGGAACACCAGUGGCGAAGGCGACUCUUUGGCCUAUAACUGACGCUGAGGCGCGAAAGCGUGGGGAGCAAACAGG
This 253-nucleotide ribosomal RNA is filed under the name uncultured bacterium. RNAcentral's name for it is "partial 16S ribosomal RNA". It matches the Rfam family "Bacterial small subunit ribosomal RNA", at positions 524 to 776 of the family's 1533-position model. The record is from RNAcentral.